CAGAUUCUACUGUAUGCUCAACACCAUUAACAUUAACAAUAAUUUUACCUUCAGCAACAAGUUGAGCACUUUUUUCAACUUUUUCCGAUUCCGGCCACGAAAUCAUAGCUUCCUCAACAGCCUUGGCAUCACGUUUGAAACGUGGACCAAAUUUUUUGCGAUUAACUUCAACCUCGAAUUGUUCAACAACAACAGGUUCAGGAAGAGCCUCUUGAACUACUAAAGGAGUCUUGGUAGCUUUACUGUGAACGCUAAGAUCAUAGGCACUACGAUCAGCGCAACCUACACACUCGAUCCAGCCGUAAGAGCAUUGAAUUUCGGCAUCCCAGCAAUCGCAAGCAUAAUGAGCCAUUUCAUUGCUCAUAUGUUGCCUAAAACGAACACGGUUCAUAUCAAUACCAAUUUUCUCCAAGAAUAAGCUGAUACGGGCCAUAAAAUAACCUAAUGUAG
Molecule: non-coding RNA, 450 nt
Organism: Schizosaccharomyces pombe (fission yeast)
Lineage: Eukaryota; Fungi; Ascomycota; Schizosaccharomycetes; Schizosaccharomycetales; Schizosaccharomycetaceae
Source: the annotation of a GenBank genome assembly